This 1108-nucleotide long non-coding RNA is filed under the name Equus asinus (donkey). RNAcentral's name for it is "lncRNA (ENSEASG00005035319.1)". The record is from RNAcentral. Lineage: Eukaryota; Metazoa; Chordata; Mammalia; Perissodactyla; Equidae.
GGGAACCACCACCACCUCCCAUAGCAACAACAGAACAUAAACAGGAGGAGGGAGGUGGGGGGAAGGGUAAGAACACGACAUCCUCAUCCGCAUCUGUCACCAUGGGGAGUCCGUCCGUCAUGUCCGUGGAUCAGCAACCCAUGACUCCAAGCAAUCACUCUGCACGGCCCCACUGUAAGGAUGUCAACCUUCAGCGACAGCUGACCCCUCUCAGACCUCCAAGGGGCCACCAUCCCAGCUGCCCUCAUCAGCUGCUCCAAGUGGAACUCUGACUGAUGGAGUUGGCAGCGUCCACGCCCCGCCUCAUUAAGACCUGGUCCGCGGGCAGCCGGCUCCAGGUCCCUGCCCCCGUGUCACAUUACAGGAUAAUUACGCUCAGAUUAGUUUCUCACACCCUCUGGACAGAGACAUGCUAAUGUGGAUUCUUAGACAUUAAAAUCUUAUAAAGUUCUCUAGUGAUUUUCAGUCCAAUUUCUUAAUUUGGGUGCCCUAAUGGAGAGGAAAAGAUGUGGCUCUCGGCUUCCUACAAAGAGGCGAUUCCUCAAAUGACUUUCAUCAGAAGCUCCUCAGGGGCGGGAUGUCGCAUCUCACACCAGAUUCAGCACCUUAUUUUAAAAUGUCCGUAACCUAAUUACUGACCUUCUUACCACCAGCUCAACAGUCUUCACCUUCACAGCCCCAAACACUCGCGACCCUGGCGGCAACAAGAACCGGAGAUGGAUCAGUCUACCUGGGUCAAUCAUUUAUUCUUUCAUCCUCGCCACCAUCAGAAACAUAAGAGAACUGUCCAAAGGAGUCUUGAAUAACUCACAGGCGUUGUGACACAUCAGGCAUCUCUCUUUGUCCAGAGCCUGUUAACAGCUCAGGCUCCGGGGCUGCAGCGCGAUCUCCAUCAGGAGGCGCUCAACCUCUGUGGACUCCACUUCCUCAUCUGGAAGAUGGGGCUGCGUGGGACUGAAAGGAAAGUGCCCGAGGCACACAGCACCGCGCCUGCCCCAGAGCCUUCCAGCAACGCUAGUUAUUGUCAAUGAAGACAGAAAAAGGAAAGGAGAAAGUACAUAGAUUGAAUCAUUCUAAAGCAGUAAAAUGUAUAUUAUAUAAUAAUAGC